RNAcentral lists this ribosomal RNA (440 nucleotides) under uncultured bacterium. Its description in RNAcentral is "partial 16S ribosomal RNA". It matches the Rfam family "Bacterial small subunit ribosomal RNA", at positions 338 to 795 of the family's 1533-position model. The record is from RNAcentral.
CCUACGGGAGGCAGCAGUGGGGAAUAUUGCACAAUGGGGGCAACCCUGAUGCAGCCAUGCCGCGUGAGUGAAGAAGGUUUUCGGAUUGUAAAGCUCUGUCGGACGUGACGAUAAUUACGGUAGCUUCUAAAGAAGCACCGGCAAACUUCGUGCCAGCAGCCGCGGUAAUACGAAGUGUGCGAGCGUUGUUCGGAAUUACUGGGCGUAAAGGGAGUGUAGGCGGUUAAGUAAGAUUUAGGUGAAAUGCCGGGGCUCAACCCCGGAACUGCUCUUAUGACUGUGGAACUAGAGUGAAGGAGAGGAUAGCGGAAUACCCAGUGUAGAGGUGAAAUUCGUAGAUAUUGGGUAGAACACCGGUGGCGAAGGCGGCUCUCUGGCCAUUUACUGACGCUGAGGCUCGAAAGCAUGGGGAGCAAACAGGAUUAGAUACCCGGGUAGUC